RNAcentral lists this ribosomal RNA (468 nucleotides) under uncultured bacterium. RNAcentral describes it as "partial 16S ribosomal RNA". It matches the Rfam family "Bacterial small subunit ribosomal RNA", at positions 28 to 507 of the family's 1533-position model. The record is from RNAcentral.
GACGAACGCUGGCGGCGUGCUUAACACAUGCAAGUCGAACGGAAAGGCCCUGCUUUUGUGGGGUGCUCGAGUGGCGAACGGGUGAGUAACACGUGAGUAACCUGCCCUUGACUUUGGGAUAACUUCAGGAAACUGGGGCUAAUACCGGAUAGGAGCUCCUGCUGCAUGGUGGUGGAUGGAAAGUUUCGGCGGUUGGGGAUGGACUCGCGGCUUAGCAGCUUGUUGGUGGGGUAGUGGCUGACCAAGGCUUUGACGGGUAGCCGGCCUGAGAGGGUGACCGGCCACAUUGGGACUGAGAUACGGCCCAGACUCCUACGGGAGGCAGCAGUGGGGAAUAUUGCACAAUGGGCGGGAGCCUGAUGCAGCAGCGCCGCGUGCGGGAUGACGGCCUUCGGGUUGUAAACCGCUUUCGCCUGUGACGAGGCGUGAGUGACGGUACUGGGUAAAGAAGCACCGGCUAACUACGUG